Termitomyces sp. J132 is the source of this 101-nucleotide non-coding RNA. The record is from Rfam. NCBI's taxonomy places the organism in Eukaryota, Fungi, Basidiomycota, Agaricomycetes, Agaricales, Lyophyllaceae.
AGAGUGAUGGUGAAGUGGUUAUCAUGCUUGCUUUCCAUUCCAUACAAGCUAUUUCCUUGUGGCUGAAGCAAGCGGCAGGGGCCCGAUUCCCUUUCAGUGUA